Molecule: unclassified non-coding RNA, 380 nt
Filed under: uncultured Alphaproteobacteria bacterium
Lineage: Bacteria; Pseudomonadati; Pseudomonadota; Alphaproteobacteria
Description: contains 16S-23S intergenic spacer region
Source: RNAcentral
UCCGGUUUGUCACCGGCAGUCUCCCUAGAGUUCCCGGCCGAACCGCUGGCAACUAGGGACAAGGGUUGCGCUCGUUACGGGACUUAACCCGACACCUCACAGCACGAGCUGACGACAGCCAUGCAGCACCUGUGUUCCCGCCAGCCGAACUGAAGGGUCUCAUCUCUGAAACCCACACGGGACAUGUCAAGGGCUGGUAAGGUUCUGCGCGUUGCUUCGAAUUGAACCACAUGCUCCACCGCUUGUGCGGGCCCCCGUCAAUUCCUUUGAGUUUUAAUCUUGCGACCGUACUCCCCAGGCGGGAUGCUUAAUGCGUUAGCUGCGCCACUGACAGGUAAACCUGCCAACGGCUAGCAUCCAUCGUUUACGGCGUGGACUAC